Molecule: ribosomal RNA, 457 nt
Filed under: uncultured Rhodospirillales bacterium
Lineage: Bacteria; Pseudomonadati; Pseudomonadota; Alphaproteobacteria; Rhodospirillales
Description: bacterial SSU rRNA
Rfam family: Bacterial small subunit ribosomal RNA
Source: RNAcentral
GGCACAAGCGGUGGAGCAUGUGGUUUAAUUCGAUGCAACGCGAAGAACCUUACCAGGCCUGACAUCCUCGGAACUUCCAGAAAUGGAUGGUGCCUUCGGGAACCGAGAGACAGGUGCUGCAUGGCUGUCGUCAGCUCGUGUCGUGAGAUGUUGGGUUAAGUCCCGCAACGAGCGCAACCCUCGUCUCCAGUUGCCAUCAGGUUAAGCUGGGCACUUUGGAGAAACUGCCGGUGACAAGCCGGAGGAAGGUGGGGAUGACGUCAAGUCCUCAUGGCCCUUACGGGCUGGGCUACACACGUGCUACAAUGGCGGUGACAAUGGGAAGCAAUGGCGCGAGCCGGAGCCGAUCCUUAAAAACCGUCUCAGUUCGGAUUGCACUCUGCAACUCGAGUGCAUGAAGGUGGAAUCGCUAGUAAUCGAGGAUCAGCAUGCCUCGGUGAAUACGUUCCCGGGCCUU